CCCACCUUGAAGGGAAGUGGUCAUUGUGGCCCGUCGGGGGACUCAGGCGUCAUGGGAGACCCACGCCCAGAAGAAGGUGGUUCGGUGGCGGGAGGCGAGGUGCCCGUUCGUCUGCCCGAGCGCGCUGCAGAUACGGAAAUUAGAGUCCAAAGCCGCGGAGUACCUUGCACAAGAUAUCCUUUAUCCAACAAAGGAGGAAGCUUUCCUCAUAUUCCUUUUCACCAAGAAUUUUUAUCACAAGUGGAUGUUGAAGAUUAUUAAACAGCCUUUCUGCACCUACUAUGUUGAUCAUAUGGUUUUCUUCCUUCAUUCUAUUAAAGUAAUGAAGUAUGUGGGUUUUUUAAUGGUAAACUGAACUUACAUUAUUAGAAUAAACACUACUCAUUUUGUAUAUAUUUUUGGUGCUUGCUGAUAUUUUGUUUAUAAUUUUAAUACCUAUGUUCAUGAAUGAGAUUGGCCUGGAAUUUUCCUUUCUCAUAAUAUUUUCAUGAGGUGUAGAUAUAUGGUUAGGAAUGUCUCAUUUGAGGUGAGGAGUGUUCCUCUUUUUUUUUUUAAAUUAAAUUAAUGCAUAACAUUGAUGUUAUUUGUUUCCUAAUAGCUAAUUCAACUCACUUGUAGAGCCAUAUGACCCUGUGGUUUUCUUUGUGGAAAAGUUUUUAAUAAAUGACUUAAUCUUAAAUAGUUUAAGAGGACUAAUCUGAAUUCUUAUUUCUCCUAGUGUCCAUUUUGACUAGUAGUAUUUUCUAGAAAAUGUAUCUCACUGAAAAUGUUAAAUGUUUCAGCAGAAAAUUGUUCAUAUUUUUCUGUUAAUGUAUUAAUACCUAAAAGAUUUAUUGUAUUGCCCUUAUACCUAACAUUAGAUAUUUAUGCCAUCUUUUUCUUGAUUAUAUUCACCCAAAUUUAUCAAUUUUAAAGUUUUUCAAGAAUGACCCUAUUGUCUGUCUGUGAUUUAUCUUGUUUAUUUCUAUUCUUAUGUGUUCUACUUUUGGUGCUGUUCUUUUUUUUUUCUUUCUCUGAAUUUUUGACAUGGAUGCUGAUAGCUCAUUAAUAUUUAGUUCUUUGUAUUUUAUAAUGUUUAUGUUUAAAGACAUAUAUUUCCUUUCAAGUUUGAUCUUAGCUAUAUCUCUCAAGCUUUAUUUAAUAAGUUGUAUUUGCAUUAUUACUCAAUUCAAACUACUUUAUAUUUUCCAUUGAAAUAUAGAUGUUUGUCUUUAUCUUUUGUUCUUUUUUUAAAUAUGUUUUAAUUACCUUGUUGUCACAGAAUAUACUCUGUGUGAUUUCAGUCUUUGAAAUUUGUUGAAACUAGCUUUAUUGCCCAGCAUAUGGUCAAUAUUUAUAUUAUAUGUUGUCGCAACCACCAACUGACAGUGACCACGGAACGCUGCAGAUGGCUCGUUGAAACAUGAGAAAAACAUACACAGAGACAACCAGGUCCUGUGGGGAAAUAGGGACGGAUCAGCCACUCUCUCUAGUGGGGAUCUCCAUGGCCAACCUCCCGAGGGGAGAGGGCCUCAUUCCCCACCCAAGCAGGCUUUUAUUGGGUUCAUUUACAUAAGAAUUCAGGUAAAGC
Phyllostomus hastatus (greater spear-nosed bat) is the source of this 1570-nucleotide long non-coding RNA. RefSeq lists it as uncharacterized. The transcript is spliced from 3 exons. The record is from RefSeq and is a predicted model, not a curated record. NCBI's taxonomy places the organism in Eukaryota, Metazoa, Chordata, Mammalia, Chiroptera, Phyllostomidae.